RNAcentral lists this ribosomal RNA (468 nucleotides) under uncultured bacterium. RNAcentral's name for it is "partial 16S ribosomal RNA". It matches the Rfam family "Bacterial small subunit ribosomal RNA", at positions 28 to 507 of the family's 1533-position model. The record is from RNAcentral.
GACGAACGCUGGCGGCGUGCUUAACACAUGCAAGUCGAACGGAAAGGCCCUGCUUUUGUGGGGUGCUCGAGUGGCGAACGGGUGAGUAACACGUGAGUAACCUGCCCUUGACUUUGGGAUAACUUCAGGAAACUGGGGCUAAUACCGGAUAGGAGCUCCUGCUGCAUGGUGGGCGUUGGUAAGUUUCGGCGGUUGGGGAUGGACUCGCGGCUUAUCGGCUUGUUGGUGGGGUAGUGGCUUACCAAGGCUUUGACGGGUAGCCGGCCUGAGAGGGUGACCGGCCACAUUGGGACUGAGAUACGGCCCAGACUGCUACGGGAGGCAGCAGUGGGGAGUAUUGCACAAUGGGCGGAAGCCUGAUGCAGCAACGCCGCGUGCGGGAUGACGGCCUUCGGGUUGUAAACCGCUUUCGCCUGUGACGAAGCGUGAGUGACGGUAAUGGGUAAAGAAGCACCGGCUAACUACGUG